AACGAACGCUGGCGGCAUGCCUAACACACGCAAGUCGAACGAGACCUUCGGGUCUAGUGGCGCACGGGUGCGUAACGCGUGGGAACCUGCCCUUAGGUUCGGAAUAACUCCCCGAAAGGGGUGCUAAUACCGGAUAAUGUCUUCGGACCAAAGAUUUAUCGCCUUUGGAUGGGCCCGCGUUGGAUUAGCUAGUUGGUAGGGUAAAAGCCUACCAAGGCGACGAUCCAUAGCUGGUCUGAGAGGAUGAUCAGCCACACUGGGACUGAGACACGGCCCAGACUCCUACGGGAGGCAGCAGUGGGGAAUAUUGGACAAUGGGCGAAAGCCUGAUCCAGCAAUGCCGCGUGAGUGAUGAAGGCCUUAGGGUUGUAAAGCUCUUUUAACCGGGAUGAUAAUGACAGUACCGGGAGAAUAAGCUCCGGCUAACUCCGUG
RNAcentral lists this ribosomal RNA (433 nucleotides) under uncultured bacterium. RNAcentral describes it as "partial 16S ribosomal RNA". It matches the Rfam family "Bacterial small subunit ribosomal RNA", at positions 29 to 507 of the family's 1533-position model. The record is from RNAcentral.